CUCCCAUCCGUGUCUAUUGUACCCUGUUGCUUCGGCGGGCCCGCCGCUUGUCGGCCGCCGGGGGGGCGCCUCUGCCCCCCGGGCCCGUGCCCGCCGGAGACCCCAACACGAACACUGUCUGAAAGCGUGCAGUCUGAGUUGAUUGAAUGCAAUCAGUUAAAACUUUCAACAAUGGAUCUCUUGGUUCCGGCAUCGAUGAAGAACGCAGCGAAAUGCGAUAACUAAUGUGAAUUGCAGAAUUCAGUGAAUCAUCGAGUCUUUGAACGCACAUUGCGCCCCCUGGUAUUCCGGGGGGCAUGCCUGUCCGAGCGUCAUUGCUGCCCUCAAGCCCGGCUUGUGUGUUGGGUCGCCGUCCCCCUCUCCGGGGGGACGGGCCCGAAAGGCAGCGGCGGCACCGCGUCCGAUCCUCGAGCGUAUGGGGCUUUGUCACAUGCUCUGUAGGAUUGGCCGGCGCCUGCCGACGUUUUCCAACCAUUCUUUCCAGGUUGACCUCGGA
Molecule: ribosomal RNA, 496 nt
Filed under: Aspergillus niger
Lineage: Eukaryota; Fungi; Ascomycota; Eurotiomycetes; Eurotiales; Aspergillaceae
Description: eukaryotic LSU rRNA
Rfam family: 5.8S ribosomal RNA (bases 161-314)
Source: RNAcentral